CCUGCUUUCCAUGGAUAGUCACUUCAAAUUUUUGACUGAUAGCUCCAUCUUUAAAGAAAAAAUUAAAAUCACAAAGCAAACUGGAAGAAAAUCUAAAUUCAUAAGUCUAGAAGAUGAGAAGAUCAAGCAGUUGCCCAAUUUGUGGAUCCAGACUGGACUUUGGUGGGGAUUUGGCACCUGUUUCAUUCACAGAGCUGAGAAAAAACCUGAGAAGUGCUUAGUGCAGUACAUUCAAAUGCUGUGGGAAGGGGAGCAGUGGAAGGCCAGACACCCCCAGACCAAUGACAGGCUGCUGUGAACAGGAACUGAAGAUAAAGUGUGUGUUUAUAGGUAGCAUUUUAAAACAGCUGCAAUUUCAGUGCUGGACCAACCCUCUGAUUAGGCAAGUGGAAAAGCUAUGAUGUAUACUCUAUAAUAAAUGUCAGAGCAAAGAAGAGCAAAGAACUGAAAAACACCCUAUUAGAGGCUAGCAAGAGCCAGAAAAUAAAAGAAGAACCUGUGUCAAAAAGCAAAAAAAUUCAAGAGCAAAACAGAAGUUCAAGGGUGACAAAGAAAAGGAUCACAGCCCUUUUGGGCUGUGACAGUGAUAAUUUUUAUCUCCCCCUCAGUGCAAAGCUGGAUUCCAAGCUGUGGUGUCAUUGUGGAGCAGAGCCUCAGCAUGCCAGUGGCAUCCACAAAUCCGGGUCCUGAGCUCACAGUGGUCACACAGCCAGAGCCUGCC
Molecule: long non-coding RNA, 721 nt
Organism: Empidonax traillii (willow flycatcher)
Lineage: Eukaryota; Metazoa; Chordata; Aves; Passeriformes; Tyrannidae
Exons: 5
Source: RefSeq, a predicted model, not a curated record